RNAcentral lists this long non-coding RNA (2564 nucleotides) under Arabidopsis thaliana (thale cress). RNAcentral describes it as "ncRNA (AT1G27921)". Lineage: Eukaryota; Viridiplantae; Streptophyta; Magnoliopsida; Brassicales; Brassicaceae. The record is from RNAcentral.
AUUGGGCUUAGCCAACUAUUAUACGUAUCUCCCAACUUCAACGCUUUUCUCUCUCAAUUGAAAUUGGAGUCUGAUUCUAACAGUUUCCAAAAGUCGGAUUUUUCACCACUGUUAAAGGCUGUCUAUGAAAACAUGAACUUGUGUGAUGAGUUUCAUAAUGAAACACACAGAUUCCGAAAGUCAUAACUCAAGUCUUGUUGUUACAGAGGAUUAUACUUUUAUUUUUGAAUGUGAAAACAUAUACAAAUGAACAAGUGUCUCAAGGAGACAAUGGACCUGAAAACAGUGACACAACAGAACUUGUGUCAUCACGAUUAAGCCUAAAGACAGGACUUCCACUUCCAAAUCCACCAUUCAUGCUUCGAUUUGAUAUUCGCCUAUUGCUGCUAGCUGGCCUUGCCAUGUAAAAAUUAUCUCCCUCAGCCACAGGUUGUGGAAUGCUCAUCUUCUUCAUUUCCUGCAUUUUAUUGUCAAUCAGCUUAUUGUAUUCUUGCAACAUUGCAACAAGAGGUACCUGGAUAACUCUUAACAGGUUUCGAUGAGCAUUUCUACUUACUGAGUACCGAUUCUCGUCCUGUGACAACGUUAGUGUUUCUUGUAUGAGUUAGACUACAGAGAUAACAUUUAGUUACUUUCAUAGAAAAGAGAUUGGAACCUGGUCAUAUUCUUCUAGCCAGCGCUCUUCAUCACUUGCCAACAUCCACCUAUCAACUUUUUCAAUUAUUCCUUUUCUACUUGCUGCUUCUUCCUUUGCUCUUGCUAUCUUUUCAUCCAUGGCGGCUAGAAGGUCAACAUGGUCAACUUCCCCUUUGAAAUAGAGGACAAAACUCUGCAAUGAGUUUGACAUGUAUAACAAAGACACGCAGCAGUUGCAGAAAGUUACAAUUAGUCAAACCAGAGUCUACAAGUUGAUCUAGUCUCUUGACUUCAGCCUCAGCCUUGGGAAAAAUUUGCACAAAGAAAAGGCGGUUACCACCAGCCAUCAUUGGAGCACACACGUCUGAUGGUGCGGACGACAGUAAAUCAAUGACAUGAAAAAACUUUUGACGAUCUUCAUAAGAUGCAUCCAUCAGAUUCCACAGGUUCGAUAAAGCUCUACCAAGAUGGUGAAGCUGCACACAUGAUGUCUUAAAAGUUCAGAUAAGAUAACAACCUCUUUUCUCUUUGAUAAAUGUGCAUCUCUUUACUGAUUUGUGUUUCAACUUAUAUCUGUUAAGUUUUAUGUUCUUAGGAUAGAUAAUGAAUUGAAACAUUUCUAGUUAGCUUCACCUUUUCAAGGCGCUUGUGCUUUUCCUCUUCCAGAGACACAACAGUGCCAUUAAGCUUUUUUAAGAUAUCAUCACUGAUGUUUUUGGAUAUUCCAUAGAGGUCGUUCAAGCUUGGGUGAAUCUUUGUUAUGAUCAUUGAUGCUUCUGUUCCCAAUGUUGCUGAUAGAUCUCGAAUGGCGCAUAUGUAUAUAUCAACCUUCUGUAGUCUCUCAUUCUUGUGUGACAGAACAAUGAAAGACAACAUGAUGGAGAAGCCAAAACUGUCUGAUAAGUAAAACACAUGCAUGUUGACCAAAAAAAAAACAUUGUUCCCAAUUUGGUAUUACAAAAUGUACCUUCUCAUCAUGGAGUCUAUGCAGUUCAUUCUGAUAUUCCUCAAGUUUUUUAUUAGAAAGAUCGUUGUCAUCUAUGGUUAUCUUUCUAGUUGAGUCUUCAUAUGUCGAUCUACCUGCUAUUUCUGCUGAUAUUUUCUGAAUUUCCCCUUUGACAGAUCGGAACUGCUUCACUCUCUCGUCUUUCCUAAGCCUCAUCUCACGCAGUGCAGGCGCAAUAGAAUCCAGCUGCUCCCUCAGUGUUCCUCCCUUUUUCUCCGGCUGUAUAGAGAAUGACAACAAAAUUAUCUAUGAUAGGUACUGAUCUUUCACCGAGGCACAAAAGAAAAUGGGUGAGUUCGGCUUCAGAUUCUGCCAGCUCUUGAUGUAGACGAGACCUCGAAACAUUGGCAUGGUCAACUUUUCUCCGGACGUAUCCAACAACGAUGAGCUUCUCAUUUCUAUCGGUGUCUGAAGCGAACCCAUAUUCGGAUGGAUAAUUCUGCAAUGUUUUCUUUUCUUUUCUGCAGCAAUUGAGGUAUUAGCUUUGUGCUAUUGGUGCAGGUUUUGCUUUGAAGACAAGUGUGAAAGUGACACAUAUUCUGCUACAGAAGCUUCUUGUUUAAGUGAAGGCUCAUCCGCAUCUCCCUCCUCCUCUUUGAUUCUUCAGUUUAUGUCUCUUUCUCUUUCUCUCUCUCAACUUCAUCUGAAUUUGGUAAAGCUUAGAAGUCGCUUUUGUGCUGAUGCGUUUGCUUCUGCUGUAUGAAAAGCCAGAGAGAGAUGUUUUUUUUUGUAUAUACUACACAAAACUUGAUUCGUAAGCAAACCUGUAGUGCUAACUUUUUUGCUUAUUACUGUUUUAUCUGAACACAAAAUCGAAAUAGACAGAGAUUCUUCACCAUGUGGGUUCUUACAACAUAGCUUCUUUUUCUUUGUGGCUUAGAUUUUGGUUAUCAAGUUCUUUCUGAAUUUCCCCCCCCCCCCC